This 1008-nucleotide long non-coding RNA is filed under the name Anolis carolinensis (green anole). RNAcentral describes it as "lncRNA (ENSACAG00000041208.1)". Lineage: Eukaryota; Metazoa; Chordata; Lepidosauria; Squamata; Anolidae. The record is from RNAcentral.
AUGACCAUCCAUCAUUCACUACACCCUCGCAGUGAUGUUGACCGGCUCUAUCUGCCUAGAAGAUCAGGGGGCAGAGGACUCUUACAAAUAAAACAAGCAGUCAAAGAAGAAGAACAUGCCCUGGCAGAAGAUGUAAAGCAAAGUGAAGAACCUGCUUUGAUUGAAGUCAAAAAUCAGAAACUCCUCAAAGCACAACAGACAAAAAACCAGUACAAGAAAACCACACUACAAACUAGAGCUGACAGCUGGUACAACAAAACAUUGCAUGGAAAGAUCCUUGACAAAAUUGAAGGAAAAGCUGAUGAGGAGAAGACCUGGCUCUGGCUCACGAAUGGGACCCUGAAGAAGGAGACAGAAGGCCUGAUCCUUGCAGCCCAGGAGCAAGACAUCAGAACAAAUGCAGUUAAGGCCAAGAUCGAAAAAUCAGCUGAUGACUCAAAAUGCAGACUGUGCAAGGAAACCGACGAAACCAUGGAUCAUAUCCUCAGCUGCUGUAAGAAAAUUGCACAGACAGACUACAAACAGAGACACAACUAUGUGGCCCAAAUGAUUCACUGGAACUUAUGCCUCAAGUACCACCUCCCAGCAGCAAAGAACUGGUGGGAUCACAAACCUGCAAAAGUAUUGGAAAAUGAGCACGCAAAGAUACUGUGGGACUUCCGAAUGCAGACUGACAAAGUUCUGGAACACAACACACCAGACAUCACAGUUGUGGAAAAGAAAAAGGUUUGGAUCAUUGAUGUUGCCAUCCCAAGUGACAGUCGCAUUGACGAAAAACAACAGGAAAAACUCAGACGCUAUCAGGACCUCAAGAUUGAACUUCAAAGACUCUGGCAGAAACCAGUGAAGGUGGUCCCAGGGGUGAUGGGCAUACUGGGUGCCGUGCCAAAAGAUCUCAGUCGGCAUUUGGAAACAAUAGACAUUGACAAAAUUACGAUCUGCCAACUGCAAAAGGCCACCCUACUGAGAUCUGCACGCAUCAUCCGAAAAUACAUCACACAGUCCUAG